UACGUAGGGUGCGAGCGUUAAUCGGAAUUACUGGGCGUAAAGCGUGCGCAGGCGGCUUUGCAAGACAGAUGUGAAAUCCCCGGGCUCAACCUGGGAACUGCGUUUGUGACUGCAAGGCUAGAGUACGGCAGAGGGGGAUGGAAUUCCGCGUGUAGCAGUGAAAUGCGUAGAUAUGCGGAGGAACACCAAUGGCGAAGGCAAUCCCCUGGGCCUGUACUGACGCUCAUGCACGAAAGCGUGGGGAGCAAACAGG
RNAcentral lists this ribosomal RNA (253 nucleotides) under uncultured bacterium. RNAcentral describes it as "partial 16S ribosomal RNA". It matches the Rfam family "Bacterial small subunit ribosomal RNA", at positions 524 to 776 of the family's 1533-position model. The record is from RNAcentral.